GCGGGUGUAGUUCAAUGGUAGAACCUCAGCUUCCCAAGCUGAUGACACGGGUUCGAUUCCCGCCACCCGCUCCA
RNAcentral lists this transfer RNA (74 nucleotides) under Oleiagrimonas soli. Its description in RNAcentral is "tRNA-Gly". It matches the Rfam family "tRNA". From Rfam's summary of the family: Transfer RNA (tRNA) molecules are approximately 80 nucleotides in length. The record is from RNAcentral. Lineage: Bacteria; Pseudomonadati; Pseudomonadota; Gammaproteobacteria; Lysobacterales; Rhodanobacteraceae.